ACCAGGAGGGUGCUCCAAGGAGCAAAACCCUAGUUCACACUAAAUGACCAAAUUGAAGCUCGAAUCAAGACUCAAAUCACUGCAUGAACACAUAAAAACGAUUACCUAGUCAUGGGGAUCACAAGUUUGACGAUUAACAAGCUAGGUGAAAGCUUGGGAACGAAGCGGGUCAAACGAAGCAAGAAUGACGGAAAAGCAUAAUUUGGAUGUAAGGAGUAAAUGUCAAAUGAGUAUUAGCAACAUUAUGGAUUAGCGGUUAUAAAAGCAAGGUAUUAAAAACGGGUCAAUAU
This is a long non-coding RNA of Helianthus annuus (common sunflower), 290 nucleotides long. RefSeq lists it as uncharacterized. The transcript has 3 exons. Lineage: Eukaryota; Viridiplantae; Streptophyta; Magnoliopsida; Asterales; Asteraceae. The record is from RefSeq and is a predicted model, not a curated record.